CCUACGGGAGGCAGCAGUGAGGAAUCUUGGUCAAUGGGCGAGAGCCUGAACCAGCCAAGUCGCGUGAGGGAAGACGGUCCUAUGGAUUGUAAACCUCUUUUGUCGGGGAGCAAAAAGGCCUCGUGAGGCCACAAGUGAGAGUACCCGAAGAAAAAGCAUCGGCUAACUCCGUUCCAGCAGCCGCGGUAAUACGGAGGAUGCGAGCGUUAUCCGGAUUUAUUGGGUUUAAAGGGAGCGUAGAUGGGUUGUUAAGUCAGUUGUGAAAGUUUGGGGCUCAACCGUAAAAUUGCAAUUGAUACUGGCAGCCUUGAGUACAGGUGAGGUAGGCGGAAUUCGUGGUGUAGCGGUGAAAUGCUUAGAUAUAACGAAGAACUCCGAUUGCGAAGGCAGCUUACUAAACUGCCACUGACAUUGAUGCUCGAAAGCGUGGGUAUCAAACAGGAUUAGAUACCCCAGUAGUC
RNAcentral lists this ribosomal RNA (461 nucleotides) under uncultured bacterium. RNAcentral describes it as "partial 16S ribosomal RNA". It matches the Rfam family "Bacterial small subunit ribosomal RNA", at positions 338 to 795 of the family's 1533-position model. The record is from RNAcentral.